This 253-nucleotide ribosomal RNA is filed under the name uncultured bacterium. Its description in RNAcentral is "partial 16S ribosomal RNA". It matches the Rfam family "Bacterial small subunit ribosomal RNA", at positions 524 to 776 of the family's 1533-position model. The record is from RNAcentral.
UACGUAGGGCGCAAGCGUUGUUCGGAUUUACUGGGCGUAAAGGGCGCGUAGGCGGCGCGGUAAGUCACUUGUGAAAUCUCUGAGCUUAACUCAGAACGGCCAAGUGAUACUGCAGUGCUAGAGUGCAGAAAGGGCAAUCGGAAUUCUUGGUGUAGCGGUGAAAUGCGUAGAUAUCAGGAGGAACACCGGUGGCGAAGGCGGGAUCCUGGGCCAGUACUGACGCUGAGGAGCGAAAGCGUGGGGAGCAAACAGG